This 254-nucleotide ribosomal RNA is filed under the name uncultured prokaryote. Its description in RNAcentral is "partial 16S ribosomal RNA". It matches the Rfam family "Bacterial small subunit ribosomal RNA", at positions 524 to 777 of the family's 1533-position model. The record is from RNAcentral.
UACGGAGGAUGCGAGCGUUAUCCGGAUUUAUUGGGUUUAAAGGGUGCGUAGGCUGGUAAUUAAGUCAGUGGUGAAAUACUCCGGCUCAACCGGGGGGCUGCCGUUGAUACUGGUUACCUUGAGUUUAGAUGAUGUGGUCGGAAUGUGUCAUGUAGCGGUGAAAUGCAUAGAGAUGACACAGAACACCGAUAGCGAAGACAGCUCACAAAGCUAUUACUGACGCUGAUGCACGAAAGCGUGGGGAUCAAACAGGA